UGGGGAAUAUUGCACAAUGGGCGGAAGCCUGAUGCAGCAACGCCGCGUGCGGGAUGACGGCCUUCGGGUUGUAAACCGCUUUCAGCAGGGACGAAGCGUGAGUGACGGUACCUGCAGAAGAAGCACCGGCUAACUACGUGCCAGCAGCCGCGGUGAUACGUAGGGUGCGAGCGUUGUCCGGAUUUAUUGGGCGUAAAGAGCUUGUAGGCGGUUGGUUGCGUCGAAAGUGCAAACUCAGGGCUUAACUCUGAGCCUGCUUUCGAUACGGGCUGACUGGAGGAAGGUAGGGGAGAAUGGAAUUCCCGGUGGAGCGGUGGAAUGCGCAGAUAUCGGGAGGAACACCAGUGGCGAAGGCGGUUCUCUGGACCUUUCCUGACGCUGAGAAGCGAAAGCGUGGGGAGCAAACAGG
RNAcentral lists this ribosomal RNA (409 nucleotides) under uncultured bacterium. RNAcentral's name for it is "bacterial SSU rRNA". It matches the Rfam family "Bacterial small subunit ribosomal RNA", at positions 355 to 776 of the family's 1533-position model. RNAcentral also lists the same sequence under 2 other names. The record is from RNAcentral.